CUGCCCUCUGAAUAAUUUUAAUACCUUAUAUAUCCUUCAUUAAUAAGACAUGACUAGAUGAAAAAUUGUCACAUAGUCAACCUCCAUUUUUUUUAAACACUAUUUCAAAAAUCAUGAGAGGUAAGGCCAUUCUUUUAGUGCCCAUUUUUCCCCUUUCUCCAUUCCUUCAUGCAAAAGACCACUCUUUCUCUCCCAUUGAAUCAAGCCCGAAAUAAAGCCAAGUAAAAUCCCGAAAAGGGGAGUGAAGUAAUUUUUACAGUACAAAAAAGUCCCCCAGCGCCAAUAUCACCACUAUCUACAUGGUCAUCUUCGUCUCCACCACCGCUGUCAUCCUUCUCCUCCGUACCCUUCGAUACCAUCAUGGCCAACUCCCCGUUGCCAUUAGUCGCGGUAGCUAGCUCUGGAAUUCUUAAAGCUUAUCAUUAAUUCUCGUCCUCGUUGACUCCAUCAACCCUAGUCCCCACUUUCUCUCACUUUUCGUUGGUCUCUAAUGGCUCAGAUUAAAACUUCCUUGACCCAGAUGAGUGAUGGAAUUUUGUUUUAUAUUUUACCAAUUUCUUAUGUUUUAUUCUCUUUACUGUUCUUGACUAAAACUACUAACGUGGUUAACUGGAUUUCAUCUGGGAUUUGGGUAUUUUCUAUUUUUCAACAUGAUCUUGAACUUAAUAAAUUGGGUUUUGAUAAAGCUUCCAAAUGUGGUGUAAAAAAAUGUAGGAUUUAUAAUACUUGCUUUACCAAUAGUUGUUGUGAACACAAUAUUGCUCGAGAUGAUUAGGAACUCCGAACAAUUCAAUGGCGCCACGUGAGUGGGGUGUGGUGGUUCCAUUUUUGGCACUAGUGUAAGUUUGUUACGGUGAUUGGUAAAACGGUUUUGAUGAUAAUUAUAAAAUCCUAAGCCUGUUGAUACUUGUUUGAUUCUAAGUAUCACGUAUAAUGGUUUUCUAAAAUAUUAUGAAUCCUUGAAUCAUAGAUUUAACAAAAAAUUCUAUUUUAGUCACAAGUUAUAGGCAGCAUCAAUAAGGCUUUACAAGUUCUUAAUGUGAAAAAUUACAUUAUUUAUUUAGAUCUAUAUCUUAAUUUUCGAAAUGAAGAUUUGUUGUUGUGGUUUUUCAUGUCUCACUUAUCAGUUUGUGAUGAUUUUUUGUAGAAGAUGGUGGUGGCAAUAAUAAGACAGUGUAAGUUACAAUUUUAAAUAAAUUACACACACUUUAUCAGAAUUUAAUAUCAUCACUUACCCAAAAAAAAAGUGAUUAUUCUUGCUGGGCCUUUGUUUUUUUAAUACUCGCCCGAAGGGAUGCAUAUAGAAAAAUCUUGUGCGAUUUUGGGUCCCUUUUAUCAAAUUGAAUUUUCAUUGAAUUUUGGUGGAUAAAUUUAUAAAUAUGUGGCAAUUUUUGGUGCAGCAAAUUCCUGUGACUGCGAAAAAUCAAUUUUCUGUGAUAAGUUAUAAAGAAGAUGAACUGUAUCUAAGCAGAUCCAAAAAUGGAAAACAAGGACAAGGCAGUGAUUAAGAAUGUUGUGGAGGGUUUUUUUGCUUACGGAAUUUUAAUGCUGUCUAGUAGGUUAAGCCUUGAUGGUGUUUUACUUUUCAUCUUGAGAGUUGUCGUCUUUCAAUACGAAUCGUGUUCGAUCAUUUAUUUCUGGACUCUAAAGAUGAUCGUCACAUUACAAAAGGAUUAUGGAUGUUCGCUAUAUUUAUCAUUGGCUUAGGUGUUUAUGUUUUUCCACAUCAUGAUGCAAAGUUGGCUGUUAAAUUGUUACUCCUCUUGCUGCCACAUAAAUUCUGUCCUCCCAUAGCCCAAUGAGUAGAUAAUCUUUGCUACCAGUAGAAACAAUCUUAGAAAUUUAGUUGUUUUUCUUGAAAUUCAAUGCAACGAUAAGAAAUUGAUCUUUCUACUUAUAUUGAAGCUCUUGUCUUUAAAUAUAUAAUAAAUAAUUUGAAGCUAAAAAAAAUCACGUCCUCAGUAUCCUUCCCAUUAUUGUGAUGAGUUUUGCAUCGGUUAAUGUCGGGUUUUGUUUGGUUUUUUAUGAUUUGAUUUGGUUAAAUAUAAAUUAUCUCAUGGUAGGAUUCAGCUGCUUAAUUUGAUGGGAUGCCUAGGAUGAAUUGAUAGUUUUUUCUUUCGUUUCAUGUGCUACAAAUAUCAAAUAAAUAAAUUGAUACUUGGUGCAAAAAAAGAAUAUAGAGAGUUUUAAUUGCUGCCAUUUUUUAAAAUUUAGAUGGGAAUUCCUUAAAUUUUGUUCGUGUGCCAAUAGUUUACUGCUUCUCUUAAGAAAAAGUUAGGAUUAAAUUGUUGUAAGAAUUUGUUAACUUCCGAUUAGAAAUUAAUUUCUAUUUUGUUAAUGAGAUUGCUUCUCUAUUAUAAUUCAAUAUUAUGUUUAUUUCUCACACAUAUUACAUGCUUGUGGGGACAUUCCUUGAUAAGUCAUCCAUUUGUUAGGACUCAUAGGAGGAAGAGUGCUUUGAAUUAGUUGCUGCUUGUCUUCUUUUGGAUAGAGUAUGCCCACAUCUAAGGUAUGGAGUUGUAUAUAUUUUACUCAACUCUUAAAUUUCAUGUAUGAAUUUGGCAGUCUAGGAAAUAACAAUGUAGAAAUGCAUGGUGUAUGGUGAUAACAUUAGUUCGUGGACCAUGUAAUUUUCAAUUGCUUUUUUAAAUUUUCGUAUAGUACUUCACUACUUCUUUAAACACAUUUUCGAUUGAACUUGGUCAGAAUCUUUAAAUUUUCAGACAUUUUUUUUAACAGCAACUCACAUGUACAUUGGGAAACCGGGGAAUAAGAUUACAAAAAAUAAGUGAAACUCUAUAGGUUAAGGCUGAAAAAUAAUCUUCGAUCAUGGAACUCAACAUGUUAAAAGCCUAUAACGAUAAUGAAAGACAAUGCUCCCUUGUGAGUGCUUUAGCCCACUCGAAUGACCUGGAUAGUGGUUACUCCAAAGUCAUUAUCUAGAAAGGUUAAUUUCCCACAUGCCUAAUAUGUUUUAAAUUUAUUUUGCUUGGUCAAAUACUCUUAAGUUAUACUUCCCUUUAAAAUGGGUUUAAAGCACUAUUACUCAAUCAACUGAUAGCAAAGUUUCGUGUUAGUCAUGGAAGCUUAUUUUAUUCCAAAAUAAUUACUUAAGUUUGUUUUUAGUUUUUAGGAAAGUCACUUAUCUAAAAUACAUCACUUUUUCUCUGCAAUUUUUAUUUUCAUUUGAAUUUCUUUCUUAGUUAGAUUAACACUACCUAUGGGUGUUUUAUUGAAUUCUUCAUUGUCUCAUUUUGAUCAGAAACUAUAGAAGAGAUUUUGUGAGGUAGUCAUAACAGAAAUCAAACUUCGUGUAGAAGAUUGGAAGUAUGUUCUAUGAACAGAUUGUCCUUGCAAAAUUCGUAAUACAUUGUCUUGCAUUUCAGUAUUUGGCUUUGUAUUUCUACCUUCUUGGGGCUAAUUUAUGGCAUUUAUGUGAACAGUUGUUGCAGAAAUAUGAGCUCCAUCAGAUGAGAUAUGGUGGCCUUACAUAUAUAGAAAGGCGGGUAGGCAAAAGCACAAUAUUGCAUUGUCGAACGAAGCAAACAGCUACAAAACGUGCAACGGAUAAAGUGCGGGCCUACAUACAGCGCAUGGAUGAACCUGUAUAUUAUUCGUUACUAUGUCAUAUUUCCGUCCACUGAUGAAUUUUAUGUGACGUUAUUUCUUGAAAAUUGAGCAGACUGUCGUUAAAGCUUUUAGCCAAACUCCAUUAUGAGACAUCGGGCCAUUGGAUACCGUUUGAAAAAAUUGUACUUUUGCACUCGCCUAACAUGUUGGCAAUAUUAUCCAUGUGCUUUAAGUUGGUCUACUAUUUCUUAAGGAAGCCAAUAGUUACGACUUGUGCAACGGAGCUUAGCUUGCAUUAAAUUUGGUUUCAUGGUGUCAGGGGCUACAUCCUAAAGUACAAAUAUUUAUUGCACAUGAAUGUAUAAUGUUUCUGACUGUUGGAAAUUGAUGAAAAACUUCAACGAUUUACGUAUGGUGAAAUGUUGGUAUUGUUAUCCAUGCUGGUGCAGGUGGGUAAAUUUUACCUGGUUUGAAUGUUGUAACACGAUACGUGAAUAUUUGGGUAGUGUCAUGAGUUGACACCCCGAUUCAUGGUUUUCGCAUCCAUUCAAUGGUUAUGUACAACUUGAAGUAGUC
RNAcentral lists this long non-coding RNA (4146 nucleotides) under Olea europaea subsp. europaea. The record is from RNAcentral. Lineage: Eukaryota; Viridiplantae; Streptophyta; Magnoliopsida; Lamiales; Oleaceae.